Zootermopsis nevadensis is the source of this 73-nucleotide non-coding RNA. Lineage: Eukaryota; Metazoa; Arthropoda; Insecta; Blattodea; Termopsidae. The record is from Rfam.
GUCACGGUGGUCUAGCGGUCAGAACGCUGGCCUUGUAGUCCUGGGGUCUCGGGUUCGAUUCCCGGCCGUGCCC